ACUGUGAUAAGUCGAUUCGUGUACCAGAGUGAAUCGACUUGAUCCUAUAGACAAUCAUAUUGUAUGAGAUACAAUAUAAAUAGUUUAGAUUAAAAAUUAUUUCAAGAUCUAAACUUAAAUCCAUGUACAUAAUGUACUCAAUUGAGAAUUAAGAUUUAAAAUUAUAAGAUCUAAAAUUACGAAUUUAAGAUCUAAAUUUCAAUAUAUAAAACAUGAGCUUCGGGUAUGGGUUGAA
This 235-nucleotide long non-coding RNA is filed under the name Elaeis guineensis (African oil palm). Its description in RNAcentral is "long non-coding RNA (EGUI_LNC011933)". Lineage: Eukaryota; Viridiplantae; Streptophyta; Magnoliopsida; Arecales; Arecaceae. The record is from RNAcentral.